UAAUAAGUGUUUUAUGGCACUUUUUAAAUCCAUAUCCACCUUGUGUGCAAUGUCAGUCGAUCUUCUUCAUGGAGAUCGACCAAACAUCAACCUUUAUCUUUUAACUCUUUGUCUGAAAAAUAUUAUGAAUAAACCAAUUCAAAUACAACUUUCAACAACGGAUCUCUUGGCUCUCCCAUCGAUGAAGAACGCAGCGAAAUGCGAUACGUAAUGUGAAUUGCAGAAUUCAGUGAAUCAUCGAAUCUUUGAACGCAUAUUGCGCUCUUGGUAUUCCGAAGAGCAUGCUUGUUUGAGUAUCAGUAAACACCUCAAAGCUUUUGGAUUUUUUUAAUCGAAAAGCUUUGGACUUGAGCAAUCCCAACACCAAUCUUUUUGAGAUCGGUGGCGGGUUGCUUGAAAUGCAGGUGCAGCUGGACAUUCUCCUGGGCUAAAAGCAUAUUCAUUUAGUCCCGUCAAACGGAUUAUUACUUUUGCUGCAGCUAACAUAAAGGGAGUUUGACCGUAUUGGCUGACUGAUGCAGGAUUUCACAAGGGUCGGCAACGAUUCUUGUUAAACUCGAUCUCAAAUCAAGUAAGACUACCCGCUGAACUUAAGCAUAUCAAUAAGCGGAGGAAUCGCGUACUUGGUCAUUUAGAGGAAGUAAAAGUCGUAACAAGGUUUCCGUAGGUGAACCUGCGGAAGGAUCAUUAACGAGUUUUAAUUGUUAGGUUAGAGUUGAGCUGGUUAAUCUAAUUAAUAUGUGCUUACUCUAAUCGAAACAAGUCCACUCAUUACUUAACACUUGUGAACUUAUUCAUUACAAACAUUAUUAUUUGUUAUUGGAACGUUUGAUUAUUAAAAAGUUAAUA
RNAcentral lists this unclassified non-coding RNA (849 nucleotides) under soil metagenome. Its description in RNAcentral is "partial contains internal transcribed spacer 1, 5.8S ribosomal RNA, and internal transcribed spacer 2". The stretch from base 147 to 299 matches the Rfam family "5.8S ribosomal RNA". The record is from RNAcentral.